Molecule: ribosomal RNA, 495 nt
Filed under: uncultured bacterium
Lineage: Bacteria
Description: partial 16S ribosomal RNA
Rfam family: Bacterial small subunit ribosomal RNA
Source: RNAcentral
GACGAACGCUGGCGGCGUGCCUAAUACAUGCAAGUAGAACGCUGAAGGAGGAGCUUGCUUCUCUGGAUGAGUUGCGAACGGGUGAGUAACGCGUAGGUAACCUGCCUGGUAGCGGGGGAUAACUAUUGGAAACGAUAGCUAAUACCGCAUAAUAGUAGAUGUUGCAUGACAUUUGCUUAAAAGGUGCAAUUGCAUCACUACAAGAUGGCCCUGCGUUGUAUUAGCUAGUUGGUGAGGUAACGGCUCACCAAGGCAACGAUACAUAGCCGACCUGAGAGGGUGAUCGGCCACACUGGGACUGAGACACGGCCCAGACUCCUACGGGAGGCAGCAGUAGGGAAUCUUCGGCAAUGGACGGAAGUCUGACCGAGCAACGCCGCGGGAGUGAAGAAGGGUUUCGGAUCGUAAAGCUCUGUUGUAAGAGAAGAACGAGUGUGAGAGUGGAAAGUUCACACUGUGACGGUAGCUUACCAGAAAGGGACGGCUAACUACGUG